This is a non-coding RNA of Megalops atlanticus (tarpon), 78 nucleotides long. The record is from the annotation of a GenBank genome assembly. NCBI's taxonomy places the organism in Eukaryota, Metazoa, Chordata, Actinopteri, Elopiformes, Megalopidae.
AGCAGUGUAGCUUAGUGGUAAGGAGCAGGGCUCGUAACCAAAAGAUUGCUGGUUCGAUUCCUCACUGGGGCACUGCUG